RNAcentral lists this ribosomal RNA (422 nucleotides) under uncultured bacterium. RNAcentral's name for it is "bacterial SSU rRNA". It matches the Rfam family "Bacterial small subunit ribosomal RNA", at positions 355 to 774 of the family's 1533-position model. The record is from RNAcentral.
UGAGGAAUAUUGGUCAAUGGGCGGGAGCCUGAACCAGCCAAGUCGCGUGAAGGAAGAAGGAUCUAUGGUUCGUAAACUUCUUUUGCAGGGGAAUAAAGUGCAGGACGUGUCCUGUUUUGUAUGUACCCUGAGAAUAAGGAUCGGCUAACUCCGUGCCAGCAGCCGCGGUAAUACGGAGGAUCCGAGCGUUAUCCGGAUUUAUUGGGUUUAAAGGGUGCGUAGGUGGUUUGAUAAGUCAGCGGUGAAAGUUUGCAGCUUAACUGUAAAAAUGCCGUUGAAACUGUCGGCCUUGAGUGUAAAUGAGGUAGGCGGAAUGCGUGGUGUAGCGGUGAAAUGCAUAGAUAUCACGCAGAACUCCGAUUGCGAAGACAGCUUACUAAGCUACAACUGACACUGAAGCACGAAAGCGUGGGGAUCAAACA